RNAcentral lists this ribosomal RNA (253 nucleotides) under uncultured bacterium. RNAcentral describes it as "partial 16S ribosomal RNA". It matches the Rfam family "Bacterial small subunit ribosomal RNA", at positions 524 to 776 of the family's 1533-position model. The record is from RNAcentral.
GACGAACCGUACGAACGUUAUUCGGAAUCACUGGGCUUAAAGGGUGCGUAGGCGGCGGCGAAAGUUGGGUGUGAAAUCCCUCGGCUCAACCGAGGAACGGCUGGGUAUACUGCGGGUCUUGAGCGGCCUAGGGGCAGACGGAACAAGUGGUGGAGCGGUGAAAUGCGUAGAUAUCACUUGGAACGCCGACGGUGAAAACAGUCUGCUGGGGGCCUGCUGACGCUGAGACACGAAAGCCAGGGGAGCGAACGGG